UGGAUGAAAAGAAUUAGUGCCCACCAAAAAUUGUGCAAAAAGAGCAAAUGAAAUACUUUAUCAAAGAGUAUUCAUUUAAUUUGUCAUCAAAUCCUGAUCGUAUGGCUUCGCACAACCAUGACAACGAACUAAGAAAAAAUGGAACCACUUUUAUACGUGGCUUACACAAACGGGUAUCUAACGUUGGGCGCUGUAUUCGUGUAUGGUAUUUUUUAUCAAAAUAAAAGUGUUCCAUCCAUGAUACGUCGCAAUGUCAAGCAUACAGAUUCCCGAGCUUGCUCACUGUUUACUCUGGGCCCAACUAGAUAACCCUUUAGGAAGAGAUUAGAGACCAUAUAGUUCUCAUCAUGCAUAUGGCCAAUUUCCGAAUCCUUAUAUAUAUAACAAAAAUCGUUUCCAUACAAUUUCAUCCAUAGUGCGGUUUCCUUGAAGCAAGUUCGAUUUACUGGAAAUGUGCUACGAAAUUUGCUUACUGCUGCUUGCUCCGCAGGAUCGUUUUGAGACAUUCUCGAUUGAAGGCCACGUACAAACCCUCCUCUCAAGUGGCUAAAAUUGGUAUUUCUAGUGGGAACGAUUUUAAUGGCAUACUUCAUUUCGUUUUUCAAUAGCGCUGCCACGAUCCGACUUCCAAUUUCUUCGUCUUUCAUACUCAUUUCUAGCCCUAAUUUCGGAUCUACCUCCUUUUGCAAUAUAGUGUGAACGGUUUGAACAUCUUUCUUCUGAAUAUACAAUUCGAUAUCAUACACAUGAAUACUUAGAAAAGAAACAUAUCGCGGUCCUGAACCUAACAAAAAUAGUUCAUCCUCAUUAUUAAUUCUUUUUUGAACUAAUCCUUCGUAUGUUUGUUGAAUUGUCUUGGUGACACUCUCACAGUAUAGAGGGCGAGUUUGAUACAUGGCAUUUAUUGUUGCUACUGAGCUCCAAAAGACCAAUCCUGGUCGUUUCGAUAACCAAUUCUUGCAAAAUUGAUAAGCAAAAAAACGAGUACCAAACAUGUUGUUUAGUUUAAAUACACACACACAGAUAUUAGCCGGUUGGUAUUGGAUCACAUGUUUUUCCAAGAGAUCCUAGAUUUUAAGGAGGU
Non-coding RNA from Schizosaccharomyces pombe (fission yeast), 1084 nucleotides. NCBI's taxonomy places the organism in Eukaryota, Fungi, Ascomycota, Schizosaccharomycetes, Schizosaccharomycetales, Schizosaccharomycetaceae. The record is from the annotation of a GenBank genome assembly.